RNAcentral lists this ribosomal RNA (579 nucleotides) under uncultured bacterium. Its description in RNAcentral is "bacterial SSU rRNA". It matches the Rfam family "Bacterial small subunit ribosomal RNA", at positions 920 to 1498 of the family's 1533-position model. The record is from RNAcentral.
CCCGCACAAGCGGUGGAGCAUGUGGUUUAAUUCGAUGCAACGCGAAGAACCUUACCUACCCUUGACAUCCAGAGAAUCUGUUAGAGAUAAUUGAGUGCCUUCGGGAACUCUGAGACAGGUGCUGCAUGGCUGUCGUCAGCUCGUGUUGUGAAAUGUUGGGUUAAGUCCCGUAACGAGCGCAACCCUUAUCCUUAGUUGCCAGCACGUAAUGGUGGGAACUCUAGGGAGACUGCCGGUGAUAAACCGGAGGAAGGUGGGGACGACGUCAAGUCAUCAUGGCCCUUAUGGGUAGGGCUACACACGUGCUACAAUGGCCAGUACAGAGGGCUGCAAACUUGCGAGAGUAAGCAAAUCCCAGAAAGCUGGUCUUAGUCCGGAUUGGAGUCUGCAACUCGACUCCAUGAAGUUGGAAUCGCUAGUAAUCGCGAAUCAGAACGUCGCGGUGAAUACGUUCCCGGGCCUUGUACACACCGCCCGUCACACCAUGGGAGUGGGUUGCAAAAGAAGUGGGUAGACUAACCUUCGGGAGGUCGCUCACCACUUUGUGAUUCAUGACUGGGGUGAAGUCGUAACAAGGUA